This 245-nucleotide ribosomal RNA is filed under the name uncultured bacterium. RNAcentral's name for it is "partial 16S ribosomal RNA". It matches the Rfam family "Bacterial small subunit ribosomal RNA", at positions 1256 to 1500 of the family's 1533-position model. The record is from RNAcentral.
UGCGAAGUGGAGCAAAUCCCUAAAAGGACGUCUCAGUUCGGAUUGCAGGCUGCAACUCGCCUGCAUGAAGUCGGAAUUGCUAGUAAUCGCGGAUCAGCAUGCCGCGGUGAAUACGUUCCCGGGCCUUGUACACACCGCCCGUCACACCAUGAGAGCCGGGAACACCCGAAGUCCGUAGUUUAACCGCAAGGAGGACGCGGCCGAAGGUGGGUUUGGUAAUUGGGGUGAAGUCGUAACAAGGUACC